Molecule: long non-coding RNA, 1281 nt
Organism: Canis lupus familiaris (dog)
Lineage: Eukaryota; Metazoa; Chordata; Mammalia; Carnivora; Canidae
Exons: 6
Source: RefSeq, a predicted model, not a curated record
UGUUGGGGGUGGGGGAGAGGGGGACACAACAUCUAGUAUAUAGCAUAGCCUCAUGUGAACAGCAUAGCUGGAGAAUAAGGUAUAUUGAGAAAGAGAGGACAGAUGUGAAGGGAUCUGCUUAGGAAGGAUCUCGAGUGUCAUGAUUUUAUCUUUUAGGUAAUGGUGAGUUAUUCAAAGUUUCUUAGGAAAGAAGGGUAAGAUGUUACCAGAGGAGUAGAAUUAAUAGACAUUUCCAUAGAAUUAAAUAAGGUGAUUAAGUAGAAAAGGAAAUAAGGGGGAAAUUUUCUGCAGAUUUGUAGAAAUUCUCUUAGACUGUCUUCAACUCAGUUACAUGACUACUCCACUUGGCAUUUGUUCUUGUCUUACUGAGGUGCCCUACUAUGACAAACUAAGCAUGUUCCUUUACUCCCUAGUCUACUUGUUACUUGAAAUCUAAAAGUCACAGGCUCUAGAAGAUACUCAAUGCACACAUUUCCUGUUAGUAAAUGGGAUCCACUUUAUUUAUCCACGAGCAAGAUUUCCACUUAAGUAUUUUAUAAAUGGGAAGUAUUUGUUAGAAUAGGAGUGGGGUUCAUUGUUGGAGAACAUUGGAAUCCUUUUUCAAUGACCGUGAAUAGGUCAGGAAGAUUUUGGUGGCAAAUAAUUGAAAACCUCACACAACUAGCUUAAAUGGCCUGUAGUGACACUGCUCCGGAUUUCACCUCAAUGCCUAACAUUAUCCAGAAGAGAAAGAAUCUAUUCAGGAGGAGAAACAACUUUUCUAGAAGUCUCCUGCAAUGAUCUGCCUGCUAGAAAGGUCCAAUUUUCAAGCUUUUUCUCUGGGAAAUGAAAUACAAAGAACCUCGUGGACCAUCUAUAGCCCUCACAUGCCAUGAGGCUGAAGAGAAUGGAGGGAAAGCAAGAGGACCUUGGCCUGACCCAAUUUUAUUUAGUUGAGAGAGAAAGAAAGAGAGAGUGGGAGGGAGAAGGAAAGAGAUUUUGAAGCAGACUCCAAGCUGAGCACAGAGCUGAACGUGGGGGUUCAGUGCCAUGACUGCAAGACCGUUCCUGAUCUGAGCCAAAACCAAGAUCGGCCGCUCAACUGACUGAGCCACUCAGGAAACGUUAUUGGAAACAAGUUUCAGCAGUGUGCAUUGUCAUGGAAAGUGAGGUCCAACUAAGAAAAAGGUGAUCCAUGUCCCCCUCCUGCUCGCUCAGGGACUUACCUGCAGGCACUGGAUUCCUGGAAGUUACAUGCAGGCAUGGAUUGGUCCCAUGUACCAACCCAAAGCUCCUUCCUCC